This is a non-coding RNA of Meleagris gallopavo (turkey), 442 nucleotides long. The record is from RefSeq and is a predicted model, not a curated record. Lineage: Eukaryota; Metazoa; Chordata; Aves; Galliformes; Phasianidae.
UGGCCAUGAUGUGCUCCUUCCUGCAGAAAGCAAGCAAUACCAACACUAGCCCAGAUGUCAGUGACCAACGUGUCAUGGCGAGGUGCCAGAAUGAGCACUGCCUCCUUUUCAGCAUACUGGCAUUAAGGCAUUUCUUUGUGGAACAGAUGUGUUCACCAAGGUAAUUACUUAGGAACAGAUGUCCUUUUUCAAAUCCAUGUCCUGGAUUUUCCAACCCAGGCAGAGCCAGUGGCUCCCAGCCAGCUGAGAAAGCCAAUCUACAGCACCUAGGAAGCACAAUCUACAUCACAGCACUGUGCCUUUUGGGCCUCUUAACAUGAGUUUGCCUGGAGAAGCAGGCACUGGAGCUCUAUCAUCUUCAUGGUAAAAGAAUCAAUCUCUCUUCAGCAUGGGAACAGACUGGAAAAAUCACUUUAACCAGGAAAUAUCCUGUUCUGUGUCA